This 104-nucleotide microRNA precursor is filed under the name Marmota monax (woodchuck). The record is from RNAcentral. Lineage: Eukaryota; Metazoa; Chordata; Mammalia; Rodentia; Sciuridae.
AUACAAAUCACCAGGGAAUCUUAUUCAAUUGCAGCUUCUAAUACAUUGGGUCUGGGAUGGGGCCAAGAUUCUGCUGUUCUAACAAGCUCCUGUGUGAUGUGGAU